Portunus trituberculatus (swimming crab) is the source of this 1058-nucleotide long non-coding RNA. RefSeq lists it as uncharacterized. NCBI's taxonomy places the organism in Eukaryota, Metazoa, Arthropoda, Malacostraca, Decapoda, Portunidae. The transcript is spliced from 3 exons. The record is from RefSeq and is a predicted model, not a curated record.
GCCAGGUUUGUUGGCAGACGUGUGGUGUAGCGCGGAGAGUGCACAAGAGCAGCUGUUGCGUCCAUGAAAGAUCAUGUGUACUUCCCUGAACAAGUCUAUACGUUCCGGAGGAUUUCAGAAGACGUGUUGCACCGGUGGCGUGGUGUCGAGGAAAGCACCCCUUUGUAUCCCUGCCUAACAUUUUAUUGAAAAUGGGUGCUCCAGAGUUUGAAGGGAGUGGCACACACACUUUGCUGCACUCCAAGCUUUUGGGGGUCCAGCGGCACACUGCGCAUUGCUUUCAUAAACGUGUGUGCAGAGUGCAAGACAGAGAGGGGCAAGGAUGGAGGAUGCUUCAACAUUCACAGCAUCAUUGGUUCAUGCUUUCUUUUUUUGUGGAAAGUUGUGCACACAGUUUUAACCGAAGGAUUAUAUGUCAUCCUUCAUAUUCAUAGAUUUCAUGACUUAACAUUGUGUUGACCUUUGUACAACAAAUCACUUCAUUACAUAUAGCUUAUAUUUAGCUACAAGGAGUAACAGUUUAUGAAAUUUGAAAUAUAUAAAAAGUGACUUAUAAGAGAUCAUGCAAUAUGAAGAUCUGUAUAAGCAUGAUCUAGUCGUGUCAGUCUUAACUGUUACGAUUGUAUAGAUAUGAACCAUUGUCCAUUGCACUUCCUGCAGAUGGAAUUUCAGUCAAAACUGCAAGGUGUGUGUGUGUAUGUGUAUGUGCGCGCGCGCAGCUUUGUGGGCAAAUGUGUGGGCAAAUAUGCUAGAUAUUCCUUGAUGUCAAUAUCUUUCAUUUAGGGAAAAACUAUUGUAGGUAGUUAGGUUUAUAUACAUUUUUGAGUCAGAAUAUGAUUAGAUAGUAAGUUUCUCAACUUUCUAGAGCUUUGCUGUUAUUGCUCUGUGUAAGAUUUCAAGGGCCGUAUUCUACAAACCAUCAUAGCUAAUGACGUGUUCGUCGCGAGACAAAAUGGUGCAUAAUCUUCUCUUUGUUAUGUUUCUUUUGUUUGGAUACAAAGGCUAACUACUCCCAAAGUAGUAAUAUGAUGUUAAAAUAAUUCAAAUUGUAGAAAAUU